CCAAAUACUCAACAGAGAGGUGCAGCUGUGUAUACGAUUGACCACGGCCUGCAUUUUCUCGCAUCUGGUAAGAUCAAGGCUUGUCAGGUUCGCAGGCAGCAACUCACCGUCAGGUAAGAAAUCGAGACUCGGAUUAUCUUCUAUCGUAAUACUGCUUAGAUGGCUGAGACUGUGUAUGCCAGUGGGUAAGGAUUUAAGAUUUCCACAAUUAUCAAUGCCAAUGGUUUUAAGCAAUGAAUUAUGAUGUAGUUCCUUAGCUAUUGACUCUAGCUCUGGACAUGAAUUAAUCCAUAAUGUUUGAAGUGCUGCAGGUAAUUCAUCGCUUGAUAUUA
Juglans microcarpa x Juglans regia is the source of this 332-nucleotide long non-coding RNA. RefSeq lists it as uncharacterized. The record is from RefSeq and is a predicted model, not a curated record. Lineage: Eukaryota; Viridiplantae; Streptophyta; Magnoliopsida; Fagales; Juglandaceae. The transcript is spliced from 2 exons.